AGUGAACGCUGGCGGUAGGCCUAACACAUGCAAGUCGAACGGCAGCACAGUAAGAGCUUGCUCUUACGGGUGGCGAGUGGCGGACGGGUGAGGAAUACAUCGGAAUCUACUUUUUCGUGGGGGAUAACGUAGGGAAACUUACGCUAAUACCGCAUACGACCUACGGGUGAAAGCAGGGGAUCUUCGGACCUUGCGCGAUUGAAUGAGCCGAUGUCGGAUUAGCUAGUUGGCGGGGUAAAGGCCCACCAAGGCGACGAUCCGUAGCUGGUCUGAGAGGAUGAUCAGCCACACUGGAACUGAGACACGGUCCAGACUCCUACGGGAGGCAGCAGUGGGGAAUAUUGGACAAUGGGCGCAAGCCUGAUCCAGCCAUACCGCGUGUGUGAAGAAGGCCUUCGGGUUGUAAAGCCCUUUUGUUGGGAAAGAAAAGCAGCAGGUUAAUACCGCGCUGUUCUGACGGUACCCAAAGAAUAAGCACCGGCUAACUUCGUG
Molecule: ribosomal RNA, 492 nt
Filed under: uncultured bacterium
Lineage: Bacteria
Description: partial 16S ribosomal RNA
Rfam family: Bacterial small subunit ribosomal RNA
Source: RNAcentral